CCAUACGGUUUCUUCCAUAUCCGCAUCUCCCAAAAAAUUCUCCAACCAAAAUCCAUUCCCUUUCAUAUAUAUAUUCUUUCCCAACGCAACUUCAUCAACUUUUUUUAUGAAGCUGAUGUUAUCUUAUUCCUCCCAGCAAAGAGAUUGAGCGACGACGGGCGUAGAGGAUGUUGAGCAGAAUUCAUGGAUUAUUUAUGUUUGGCUUAAUAUUGUUGGAUAUGUCGUGUCUUCAUACUCGGCAUUUUCCGUGUCUUGAACGCUUCCGCUAGGUGUCUUUUCUUUAAAAUUGUUUUAGUAUUGAGAACCUAACUCCUUUCAAAAUUGUCUACUUUCUAGUCUUUA
Molecule: long non-coding RNA, 342 nt
Organism: Salvia hispanica
Lineage: Eukaryota; Viridiplantae; Streptophyta; Magnoliopsida; Lamiales; Lamiaceae
Source: RefSeq, a predicted model, not a curated record